CAAGCAGGCAGCAGAGGCAGGAUCUCUAAGGCAGAAUGUAGCUUCUGGGACUGAGCACCCACCCCUGUGGAGCCCAGAAGGAGUCAUACCUUUGUGGGAUGUGGAUUCUUUCAUUGGCUUCAGUGCAGUUAAUUAUUGCAAAGCAUUUGGAACAACUGCAAGAUUUGGACAUCAUUUUUAGUUUCCCACUUAAUCAGAUGAAAAAAUUAAGCUUUUAGCAACAUCUCUGGCUCAAGAGUAAAAUUUGCAGUGUGAAGUUUUAAUUUUUUUUUGCAAAAGCCGUUAUUUCUUAAGAUGACUUUUUUUCCCCUUGUUAUGGUACUGGAGAUAUAACGCAGGGGCACUCUACCACUGAGCUAUACCCCCAGCAACCCUUCUUUAUUUUUAUGUUGAGGCAGGCUUUUGCUAAGUUCCUGUAACUGGCCUUGAACUUGGGAUCCUCCUGCCUCAGCCUCCUAAGUUGCUGGGAUUACAGUUAUGUGCUACCUUACCUGGUAAGAUGAUUAUUUUUGUUUUAUUUUUGGUGCUGGGAAUUGAACCCAGAACCUCACACGUGCUAAGCACAAACUCUACUGCUGAACCACACCCUCAGCCCAAGCAGGAUUGAACAAUGAGUAAAUUUAUUAUUUCAUAUAACAGGGACAAAAGAUACAAAGCGAGUUCUAGGGUGAGUUGAUUCAAUAGCUCAAAGAUGUCAUCAAGGACCCAAAUAUUCUCUCCACUCUGCCCUCUUGCCUGUUUGCCUGACACUAGGGCCAGAGGUGAGAAGGUAUCGGCAGUCUCAGCCCCACACCAGAUCCAAAAUCCAGAGGAAAAAGAGAAAUAACCUCCUCUUGUGGUUUCUUUUAGGACAAAAGAAAAUUUUCUCAAAAGCCCCAUCAGCUGGGCAUGGUGGUGCACUCCUGUAAUCCCAGUGGCUUGGGAGGCUGAGGCAGGGGGAUUACAAAUUUAAAGCCAGACUCAACAAUUUAGCAAGGCCUAAGCAACUCAGUGAGGCCCUAUCUCUAAGUAAAAU
RNAcentral lists this long non-coding RNA (1015 nucleotides) under Marmota monax (woodchuck). Lineage: Eukaryota; Metazoa; Chordata; Mammalia; Rodentia; Sciuridae. The record is from RNAcentral.